GCCCGGAUGGCGAAAUCGGUAGACGCAGGGGACUCAAAAUCCCCCGCCGCAAGGCGUGUCGGUUCGAGUCCGACUCCGGGCACCA
This 85-nucleotide transfer RNA is filed under the name Roseateles chitosanitabidus. RNAcentral describes it as "tRNA-Leu". It matches the Rfam family "tRNA". Rfam says of the family: Transfer RNA (tRNA) molecules are approximately 80 nucleotides in length. Their secondary structure includes four short double-helical elements and three loops (D, anti-codon, and T loops). The record is from RNAcentral. Lineage: Bacteria; Pseudomonadati; Pseudomonadota; Betaproteobacteria; Burkholderiales; Sphaerotilaceae. RNAcentral also lists the same sequence under 13 other names.